UACGGAGGGUGCAAGCGUUAUUCGGAUUUAUUGGGCGUAAAGGGCGCGUAGGCGGUCUUGUAAGUCAGGUGUGAAAGCCCGGGGCUCAACCCCGGAAGUGCAUUUGAUACUGCGAGACUUGAGUAUGGGAGGGGGAAGUGGAAUUCCUGGUGUAGAGGUGAAAUUCGUAGAUAUCAGGAGGAACACCGGUGGCGAAGGCGACUUCCUGGACCAAUACUGACGCUGAUGCGCGAAGGCGUGGGGAGCAAACAGGAUUAGAUACCCUGGUAGUCCACGCAGUAAACGGUGAGAACUAGGUGUAGCGGGUAUUGACCCCUGCUGUGCCGCAGUUAACGCAUUAAGUUCUCCGCCUGGGGAGUACGAUCGCAAGAUUAAA
This 376-nucleotide ribosomal RNA is filed under the name uncultured bacterium. Its description in RNAcentral is "bacterial SSU rRNA". It matches the Rfam family "Bacterial small subunit ribosomal RNA", at positions 524 to 898 of the family's 1533-position model. The record is from RNAcentral.